RNAcentral lists this ribosomal RNA (430 nucleotides) under Gymnophalloides nacellae. RNAcentral's name for it is "SSU rRNA". It matches the Rfam family "Eukaryotic small subunit ribosomal RNA", at positions 553 to 900 of the family's 1831-position model. The record is from RNAcentral. Lineage: Eukaryota; Metazoa; Platyhelminthes; Trematoda; Gymnophallidae.
GGGCAAGUCUGGUGCCAGCAGCCGCGGUAACUCCAGCUUCAGAAGCGUAUAUUAAAGUUGUUGCAGUUAAAAAGCUCGUAGUUGGAUCUGGGUCGUAUGGCCACAUGCUGUGCUUGAGCUAUCUGCUGUAAAAGGUGGGUAAGGAGAGUCGGUGUAGUGGUUGUGCAGCCUUUCUGCCGUGUCUGUGUAUACGGGUGCUGGCUGACUUGGUGGGUUCGUCCUGUCGGUCAGUUGGCAUGCUUCUUGAUGCCCUUAACACGGUGUCGGGAGCGGACGGCACGUUUACUUUGAACAAAUUUGAGUGCUCAAAGCAGGCCAAUGCGCCUGAAAAUUCUUGCAUGGAAUAAUGGAAUAGGACUUCGGUUCUAUUUUGUUGGUUUUCGGAUCCGAAGUAAUGGUUAAGAGGGACAGACGGGGGCAUUUGUAUGGA